Anas platyrhynchos (mallard) is the source of this 4128-nucleotide long non-coding RNA. RefSeq lists it as uncharacterized. The record is from RefSeq and is a predicted model, not a curated record. Lineage: Eukaryota; Metazoa; Chordata; Aves; Anseriformes; Anatidae.
ACAAUUAAGCAAAUGUUAUUAUGUUGCCAGCAACAAAAGGAAUGCCCCUGAGUAUACAACUUCCCCUUGCUGUAAUAAAUAUGCAGACACGAGAACUGUGCCUGCAACCCAGUGCUUAAGCAGUCUUAAAAAAACCCACACAACACCACCAUCAACAAAAAAACAACUUUGGGGAACACAAAGAAGCCAGCAGGAACAGUCUGAAAGUUAACACGCCAAGACCUACUUGCCAGAAGAGGAGAAAUGAGAAGCACAGGGUGCUACAGCCAAAACCCCACUCCCAGCAAUAAGAAGAGAGGAAUAAAAACCAGCAAGUCCCUUAGGGGAAAGAAAAAAAAAUAAUUGAAAGAGAGAUGUUGCGUUUUCCUUCCCAAUUAACAUUUUGUGUGCCGUGUGGGUGCGACUCAUCAGCCCGAACCUCGGACAGUGUUCCAGCAGAGCACGUGGACACCUCCUGGAUCUGAGGCAAGUGAUGGUGAAGCAGCCACUCUGCCCCUUGCCACGCUCCUCUGGUGCCCAGGAAGAGCCCCGCAGAGCCGGCUGCUGCUGGCACAGCUCCUCAGGCCCAUGGGAUGUUUCCACCAGAAGUGGCUGUGUAUAUCUCAUGGGCUCGUGUUGGUGUACGUGUGGGCAUGUGGCUUGUGCCGGCUGAUGAGGGUGUCAACGUGGAAACAGCUUUCCUGGUGGUUUUCAAUGAGCCUCGGGGGAAUCCUUGGCAUAAGCAGACUGUAUGCCUUCCUCUUGUCUCAUCCAGGAGUCUUUGGGACCACCCCCCAAUACAAAAACACGUGAGCUCUAAGAGAAAAACGAAGCAAAAGCUGUCCUUCUACUCAGCACUGAGAGAAAUCUCAUGCUGAGGAGGCCCAAGUGCUUAAUGCACCUUUAACCUUGUAUUUUCUCUCAGUUUUCUUUGAAAAGGGCUGACUGCAAUGACUGAUAAGCAGUGUGACUAGCAUUAGCAACAGAAGGGACAUUAAUCCAUGCUAGGACAGAAAAAGGAUGAAAAAGAUCAUGAGGGCACGAUGAAAUCAGCCCUUCCUGGAGGAGUGGUGGCUGCAGACCCAUUACUGGGGGCACUGGGAGAAUGCACUUGUUGAGUACGCAAGCCAACUGGGAUUGUAAAGGUUGGAGAAAUAACCCAAAGAGAAGAAGCAAUUCAAGUAAAGAAAUAUGACCGAGUUCCCUGGAUUCACCGAGUGAAUGAAGUGGUGAAUAUCUAAACAGUAUUAGUGAGAAAAGAGCAUUGACCUGAGCUGUGCUGACAUUGGGUUGGUCCUGGUGAUUUCAAAGAAUCGAGCAUCACACUCAGGUAGAAGAUUUGCACAAUUACUGUACAACAGAACAUUUAGCAAGGAAGAAUUUUUAAAGGGGUGUAAAUAGUUUUAUUUCUACAAAGCAGCUUACAGUGAAACCAACAACAACAACGAAAACUGUUAAAAGUUAUUACCAGUUCCACAAUGACAUUUAUUUUAGGAGAUUAGCCAAUGCACUGGGUGUAAAUGCCUUUGCUGAAGUUAUAUGUGCCUAGCAUCAGUUAUGAUUGCUUUGACCUCUGCUUACCCUGAAGAGAGAGCAUCAGAAACUUGUCAUUUUUGUGAAGGAGGAUACAGGCCAUAGGGUAAAUCCUCAUUAAACCUCUUAGGAAGUUCUGAUUUAAAAAAUAAGCAAAUGGCAGGCUGAAGUACAGGGAUUAUAGAAGCCGAGGACACCUGAUACAGAUACAGAGAUUUAUCGGAGGGAAUAGAUUUAACUGGUGCUUGGUUUUCCUUUUUCUUCCGAGGGAUUGCUUUUAAUCUGGAUCCAGUUCAGGGAAAUGAACAUCCUGAAAGAAGCUUUAAACUGCUUCCACAGCCAGACAAGAAUUAGAUUUGUGGAAACUUUUGAACCAUAUACAGAUGUCUUUUGCAUAAGGAAGGUGAGGCAGCCUUACAUGCGAGCUCUGAACUGAUCAUGGAAGCAGACGCCGCUUUCUCUUCUUCAAAGCUCGUUUUAGCAGUUCAGUUUUCUUUCUCUACCCUUUCCUGCCUGAAGAUACUGUAUUUCUGUUAGCUGUUCAUGUAAAACACAGUUCUGAUGGAGACAGCAGGGCUUAUCACAGCACGAAGGCAAUCAGUCUUUGUGCCUGGGGGGGGCAUCUGCUUGGGCCACCUUUCUUUCCUUGACACGGGGAGGAUUUUUUUUUUACUGUUGGGUCUGAUCCUGAUCACUCAGAGAAGAAAGUUUGGUUCAAUCUCUUUCAAAACAGAACAUCUUGCAUGAAGCAGAGAUCUUGGCUUCUCUAGAACCUCUGACGCCUUUUACAAACAGGAUUGGUAUGGACAAAGUCCAUAGUGAAGUGGUCCAUGGUUUCCUGUGCUGCACAGUGCCUCAUGAAACAGCCGUGGUGGGUGAAGGAAGGACAGAUGGAGCAGAACAGAUCUGGGAAAGAUCUGCGCUGGUUCAAGGUUGUGGAUGUGCCGGGUUGUCUGAGCGUGUACAGCUCCCGUUGCCAUGAAGGAUGUGCUUGGAGUCACUAUUUUUAACACCUGUGGAAACAAGUGUUAGCAUGAAGGCACAUUCCAGUUUCUGUGUUCCUACAAACGCACCUCAUCUACCUCCACCAACACAGACAACCAAAUAUAAAUACUAAUUGAUACAAAUAUAAAUAGUGUUUAUAUUUUAUAUUCCUUCAAACCCUGCUUAAAAUGUCCUCUGUUGUAGCUUUUUGGUAUUCCUCCUCUCCUCAUCAAAUACCUCUUCUUCUUGUUCCAAUGGAAAAAAGCAAAACAGACCCAUUUUGUGCUGGGAUUUUAGAUGCUGGAUGCCUGCAAAACUGCCUUCUCAGCCGUGUGGCUGAGACCUCAAAGCUGAAGAACGCGUCCUUCAUACUCAGUUGCUGAGGCACUGGGGAUUUCUUAUGCGGAAGGAUUUUUUAACUAAAUGUAUAAAUCUUUUGGUAUUCAGGUGCUGCAGGAAGAGCUCCCACGUGCAUUUAUUUAACAUUAAGGUCCGUUAUAACUUCCACUCUGGCGUGAAGGAUAGGUUCAAUUACUUCCUGAUUUACGUAAAAAGCACUUAGAUUGUCUUAAGCAUCGUGAAAAAAAAAAAAAAGUUUUUGUUUCAUAUAUCUCAAUUUCAGUAAAUUAUUCAUGUGAAUUUCAUUUUGACCAAAAGAAAGAUUUGUCCAAGCUGGAGAUCACCUUGCAUUUCACGAGCUCUAUAUACCUGGAGGCCUCGAGUUGCAUCGCACACCCAGCAAGGUCAGUGCUUCUCCAGCUGUCACCGCACCUUGCAGCACCGACCUGUUUCUGGUGGCCAUGGAAGUGCUGGGAAUAAAAAAUAAAUCCAGAUUUCUAAACCUGGUUUCCUUGUGCAGUGGCCUGUCCUUGGGCUUGGUCUUCGACGGCAUGAAACAACAGUGUGAUAAAUAUAUGUCCGUCAGACACUUGCAUAGGGUGGAUGCAAAUGCACUUUUAAAAACUCUUCCAUAAUCUUCCUUUGCAAUGGCGUGUUCGAGAUCAAACAUCAGAGCUCAAUUUUCUAUAAUUACUCAGGUUUAUGGAGCUGUCAUCACCAUGUCAAGAAAGCUGAGAAAUUAGAGCAUGGCUUUUAAUUUUUUUUUAAAGUAUUCUAAAGAAAAUGUUGCCUUUCAUGUAUAAAAUGAAACAGAAUAUGGCCACUGUGGGAUGGACUGGCAGUUCCUUUGAUGGCUUGAUUUACAUUCAGCUAACUAUUGUUAAAAAUGAAUAUGCUCUGUCCAGAUUUUGUGCGAGCUAAAUACAUUUCUCUGCCUUAUUUCCAUCUUCGCAAAUACGCAUUUGCAGUAUAUUGUUAACAACUACGAGCAUUAUAACUGGUGAUACAGCAGUCUGCACAUUUUGGACAUUAUAUCAUUACGAUAAAACUUUGCGGGCUGUUGACCCAACUUAAAUUGGGAACUAGCUUCUUCUUAUAUACUUACCUAUACUCACACUAGUUGAUAGCACCAGUAAGAGGGUGAAUGAUGGCAGUAAUAAAGAAUUCUCCACUGAAUUGAUAGUUUUAUUUAUUUUCAAGAAAUGCUCUUGCCACAUCAUUAAAGACCUUGAAGAAGAUCUUUAUUGUCUCAUUUUCUUCAUAUUUUUUACAUUUUCUGUGUGGGAUUGUAUA